AGCUUGGAAGUCUUUGGUCCCCAUCCACUUCUAUUGUAUGGAAAAGUGCAGUGUGAUCAUUCUUCAAAACAUCUCGGUUUGUGUUCUACGGAUGAAAGUUAAUUGUACAGGCUUAAAGGGAGCUUGAAAGUCCUUGGUCCCCAUUCACUUCUAUUGUAUGGAAAAGUGCAGUUUGAUCAUUUUUCAGAAUUUCUCCUUUGUGUUCCACAAAUGGAAGAGAGUUAUAUGAGUUUGAGCUGUUUGGACUCUACUUUUGACGGUACCCAUUCACUCCAGAGAAUCCAUUGGUGAGCAAGUGAUGCAGUGCCACUGCAUUCAGCUGUUUGGACUCUCAUUCUGACGGCACCCAUUCACCGCAGAGGAUUUCAUUUGUGAGCAAAUGAUGUAAUGCUGAAUUUCUCUGAAUUUGAUGAAGAAACAAACUCAUCUACAUCUUGGAUGGCCUGAGGGACCCGUGGACACGGGAUGCUUAUCUGAGACCGAGAGGUUGUCAGCAGCAGGAUUUUGCUUUCAGCUUUAUCUUGAGUCGAGGUCCUGGCACAAACAUGCUGCUGGAGCUUCGGCCCCAGAAGAUAAGAGAGACAGAGAUGCAUGUUGGGACAGGGCGCCACCGACACCUGCUUGGACCAAACACAGGUUUUUGACUUGAGAGCCACCCUUGAACUAUAAAAUAGUUUAUAUGCUAUGCUAUAGUGUAUAGUUCAUGUUAUGCAUAUGCUGCAUACAUACAUAUAAACAGAUGUGCAGUAUAUACAUGCAUCCAUUUUAUAUACAGCAUCUGUGUUUGCAGCUUUUAAACUCCCUUAAGAAUAAUGGAUGUUAAAAGCACAGAAGCACUAACAUCUGUUAGCAGUGAGGUUGAUGUCAAACAAGGCUGUUUCACCUGAGAUGGCCCUGCAUCAUCUCAUGUGCACUCAUAUUAUUUUUUAAUGCAUUUCUGUGUCGGAGAUGUAUAACACAAUGCAAGUAUGUUGCAUUUUCAGUGUUGCCACAACAUACAGUAGGCGUUAUUAUAAAAUGGCUGCUUUUACGGUCAGUUUUUUAAUCCAUUAAGCAUUUGCAUCUGCAUAAGCAUAUUUGCAUUUGAGUUUAUCGUGAUAUAUCGUCCGUACACGGAUUUUGAAAAAGCAUUGCACAGUUUGCUUUUGUUUAAUUAUUAAUAGAGCAUUAAACUCUAUAAUAUUUUCUCAUCUACUGUCAGCAUUCAGCAAAAAUGCAUUUUUAUAAUUUAAACAAGUCUUUGAACAUCUAAUAAACAUUUCAUUUCAAAAGCCUUGCUGUCGAAUCCAGCUGUGAGGUUCUCUGAAAUGUGCAUUUGUGUUAUUAUUCACUAAAUCUAAAUGUAUUAAAAUCUGUAUUGUUACAGAAGUACUAAAAUUACUAAAACCAAAAAUGAAAUAAAAAUAAAGCUAAAAUAAUAGAAAUGAGAAAAACACAAAUGUGCAUUUGUCUUAUUAUUCAGUAAAUCUAAAUGUAUUCAAAUCUGUAUUAAUUAAAAUAAAUAAAACAAAAAAUAUAAAUAUUAAUUUGGCAGCUAACUGAAAUAAAGUAAGUUUAGACUGAAGUACUAAAAUUACUAAAACCAAAAAUGAAAUAAUAUAAAUGACAAAAGCACAUAAAAUAAUAACUAAAUUAAAAUUAAAUUUAAUUCAAUUAAAAAUAAAUCCAAACUGAAAAAAGUGACAUUAAAAUAAUAAAUCCUAUAAUAGCAUAGAAAUAAUGUUAAAAUAAAAGUGUCACAGUAAAACGAAGGGUAGCAAAUCAACUAAUUUGCAAUUGAAAAAAGUUGUCAAAUUAAUUUAAAUUGCAGGAAUGUUUUCAAUGCUGGGAAAAGUGGUGCAUUGGAGAAAAAUGCAAAUGCGAACAGUGAAAUAAAACCAGCAACAAAAGCACAAAUCCUUUCUUUCAAGAGAAAGCAUAUUUUCACAUCCCUUCCAUCUUCUGCUCCCGUUUGCUAAUGCGUUCAAAAUAAGUUGCUUCUUUUCAUCCGUUGAGUCUGUUUUCUCGCUCUUCUCAGCUCUCACAUUCUCUCCCUGACAGCUGAAUAUGAUGUAGCGGAAGCAUAACCUAACCUGACAUUUCUCUCUACCUAUCCCAUAAACACACGAGUCCAAGCUAAUGAUCAAGAAGCUCUUUCAGCAGAUGUCUCACUUACCGAAAAUCAUCAUCUGCCUCUUUAGGCUGACUUUCUAAAAUGUCAGAGAGGCUUUUGAUUGCUGGAGAAAUACCAAGAUUGGAUGACUAGACAAGUAUUAACUCUUAACUUGUAACUUUUGGCUUUUGUUUUAUUGCACUAGUGUUGGGGAAGCUAUUUUAAGCUGUGCUUUCCUGUUUCCUUUAUUGGUUUCGUUUUCUUGCAUUUUAGCUCUUGUGUUUUAAGAUGCAAGAAAUGGAUGUGAGAAACUCAGCAAGAUAUGUUUGCAAAAUUCAAAAUCCUGCUCACUCAAGCGUCCCUUCAAAGCGACAUCUCUGCACAGCUGUGUUACCUUGUGGUUCUUACGGGAUCUGCUGUUAUGUUGUCGUACCUUGAUUAAUCAAGACAUUCUUAAUAAGUCCAGAUACGUUGUUGAAAUAUGUGAAACGUAUGUUUUUCUUUUAAACCACAAAGGUAAGACGUGCUUAAAACUGUUGUGACAGAUGUGAAGGUGAAGGAGAAUUUAUGCAUGCGUCAGGUGUUUCAACAAAAAAACACUUGUGUUUUCCUGUAUGGAAGCUUCCUCUUUCCUUGAUUCUCACCUCCUCGCAGUGCAUUUAAAGAACUGACAUGUCCUUCAUGACUUCGAUCGAUUUCUGGGUCACUGGCUAGAGGACGGACACGUGAGGAAGCGAGGAAGCAGCAAUUCGAGUAUUAAGUAAGAGUAAGUAUUCACCAAGCACUCAUGUUUGCUCCAUCAUCUCCCUACUUUAUACAAAGUGACUUAAGGACAUAUAUAUUUUGUUUUUUAUGCUAAUUGUCUUUAUCAGUGAACCAUCACAGAAUUUAUAAAUAAAUUAUUCUCCUAACCAGCUAGUCACUGAUUUUGUUUUUGAACAAAUCAGUGGUUUUGAACAAAUCAUUGAAUGGAUGAUUGAAAUGGCUCACUUGAAAGAUAAUCAAAUUUAAUUUCUGAUUGAAUCAGUUUGAAAGAACUGUUAAAAUGAAUGAUUCAGUGAUUUACUCAUAAAGACGGUCACAUGUUUAGUUUCUAAAUAAAUCACUGUUUUUGAACAAAUUGGUUGAGUGAAUGAUUCAAUAAGUUAUAGAAACAUCCAUUUGUUUUGUUUCUGAAUGAAUAAGUGCUUUUGAAAGAAUAGUUUAAAUGAAUGAUUUAGUGAUUCACUAAUAAAGACAGUCACGUGUUUAAUUUCUAAACGAAUUAUUGCAAAUUGGUUGAACGAUUCAAUGACUUUCUCAUAAAGACAGCCAGCCAUUUGUUUCUUUCCUAAAUUAAUCAGUGUUUAUAAAUGAGUCCAUUAACUGAAUGAUUCGGUAAUUCCCUUUUAAGGACAGUAACAUGUUUAGUUUUUAAAUGAAUUACUGUUUUUGAGCAAAUUGGUUGAGUGAAUGAUUCAAUGAUUUUUCACAUAGAGACAGCUACUUGUUUUGUUCCUGAAUGAAUCCGUGCUUUCGAAUGAAUCGUUUGAAUAAAUGAGUCAGUGAUUCACUCAUAAUGACAGUCACAUGUUUAGUUUCUAAAUGAAUCACUGUUUUUAAGCAAAUCGACUGAGUGAAAGAUUCAAUGACUUUCUCAUAGAGACAGGAAUUUAAUUUAUUCCUGAAGAAAUAAAUGUUUACAAAUGAAUCCAUUGAGUAAACGAUUCAGUGACUCACUCAUAAAGUCACUUUUUUGAACAGAUUAGAUGAGUGAAUGAUUCACUCAAAGCAGGUGUUAUUUGUUUAGUUCCUGAAGGUUCCCUAAUGUUUUUAGGUGGAUGAAUAAUUAAAUGACUCGCCCAUAUAGACUGCAACUUGUUUUCUUACCAAAUGAAUCAGUCUUCUCAACAAAAUGUUAAAUUAAUUAUUUAAAUGAAUCAGUCAUGAAAAGAAGCUCACUAAUGAAUCAGUGUUUUUGAAUGAAUCGUUUAAUGAUUUAAAUAAUUCUCUCAUAAAGAUAGUAACAAACACAAACAGAGAGAUGAAAACAGUGAAUUCGAUUUUAAAUAUGAACGUAGCUCACAUAUAUAUUGUCAAGCUCAGAUAGAUAGAUAAACAGCAGUAUUUACCUAUAUAUUUAUACACUACAAAAAAGCUGUAAAAUAGCUUCAGUAAAUUGAUGAAUCAGUCUGAAUGAACUCAAUCCCCCCAAAAUAAAUGAACCUUCUGUUUGGGAGAGAUUCUAGGGAAUUGUGUUUGGUUAUUUCAUCAGCUUACUCAGAUGUUAGGCUGCAAGGCAAAUACGUGACAAAAACAGUGAUACACUGCUAUGCGUAGGCAAAAAUAACUCGAUAGCGUGCUACGCUAUUAAAAACAUUUCAGCAUUUGUAAUGCAAUUGAAAAUAGUUAAGCUAGCAGCAUUGCUAGUUUCACUCCCCGCACCAUGAGAAGUAAACCUAGUAAACUGCUUACCAAUCAAUGUCUGGCCUUUUAAAGCAUAGGAAUAUCUCCAUUAGCAUUUCCUAGUGUCAACACAAUAUGGCAGAUUGUCAGCUCAGGUGAAUGGAACACACCUUCACAUCUGUCAACAAACACAUCGCACCUGAUUCUUCUCCAAGCGCCAUGGCAGUGUUUAUUUCACACGUAUGUAACUGCAAUCAUCUGAAUAGAUGAAUAGCACUUUCCUUGCUACCAUGCUUCAUGGACAUAAUUGUACGAAGUCCCAUUUGUGAUCUAAUUGGAGCACAAAGUGCACUUGACCCCGGUGAUCCGACGGGGCUCGUUUGGUUUAAGUGAUAGCCCUGUUAGAACGAGGUGGAAUCCGCGGCCAAGUCUCACAGCGGUAUCUCACGGCACUUUAAUUUCCAGGCCCUUCGGUCCAACAGGCCUCUCUGGCCAUGGCGGCGUGACAACGCCGAAGGCCACGUGCGUGUGCACUACACCUACUUGCUUUUUUAUUUGCACGCUGUGCAAGAUUUGUUGCUGAAAGACGUGUUGAAGGGAGAGAGGAAGGGUUAUUUUUCUCAUCUCCCUCCCACUUUGCAUUAUGUCGACUCUGAUUAUGCAAACCGCCCCCGCUGCAGGAGACGCUGGUUAAGUACAGAACCUUUAGUGAACUAUCCUAAUCUUUUCAGGUUUAUCUGAUGCUAACGGUGUCUGCAAUCAGGAAAAUAUACAAGCAGAUGGGUGUAGCGCUGCAUGCGGAUACAAUCCCUGCGAAAUCCCAUCCGAGACUCCUCUUUGCGUGAACGCGCUCGUGUAAAUUACACAGACGUAAAUGCAUAAAUGAAAUGGCAGCAGCGGCUCUUAAAAUCCUCAGUGAUGGGUCUGACCCACUAUAACCCUCAAGGUUUUCAAAGGCUACGCUUGUAAAACGAGUCGGAUCAGUUCUGAAGCUUUUGACACGUUAAUAAAUCAUAAUUUGUGGACCGCAGGAAGGGUAAAAUCACAGCAACAAGGAUUCAAGCAGUGGAUGUAUUUUAGAGUUUUAAAGCUGCAUUUGCAAUCCAUUUUACUUUCAUAAUGUGACAGAUUUCUGAGGGAAAUGGGAUGUUAAUAAGAAAAAAAAUAUUCAUUAGGCAUUAAAUGGUUUAUAAAAAAGUGGCAUAGUUUAAAAAAUUAAAAUUGACAUAAACCAAAAAAAAAAAAGAAAAUCAUUUCAGAGGUGGUACAAUACUUAUUUUAUUUCAUUUUUAUUUUAUUUUAUGUGGAAAAUGCACAUAAUUGAUUUGUUCAAAAAAGGACCAAGACUAUGUAUUAAACAAAUUUGAAAGAGUCUAUUAUUUCACAUUGCAAAACGUAUGAAAUUUUUUUUUUAAAAAACUGUAAAUUGAAACCGAACAAAAGAAAAAAAAAUCAGGCAUUAAAUGGUUUAUAAAAAAGUGACAUAGUUUAAAAAGCUAGAACUCACAUUAGCCAAAAAGCAAAAUAACACAAGACUUUUUAUUUUAUUUUAUUAUAUUAUUUUAUUUUAAAAUGCAAUUUUAUUGCAUUUUAUGUGGAAAAAUCAUUGACUUCAAAAUCAAAAUAAGACCAAGGCUAUAUAUUAAACAAAUUUGAAUGUCUGUUAUUUCACAUAGCAAAACUUAUGAAAUUUGUUUUUGGUAACUGAAAAUGGAAUCUGAAAAAAAUCUAUAUAUUAAAAAUACUAAGAAAUGCUGCCCUGGCAAUUAACUAUAAUGAAAAACUAAUAUUACAAAGACUUACAGACUUAAUGUAUAAAAAAAAAAAGCUAAAUUUUUUUUUACAAAUAUUUCAUUUUAUAAAAUAUUUUAGAAUUAAUAAAUAAUAAUGAAUAAAAAAUAAAUUAAAAGUAUUAAUAAAUACCAAACUAUACUAUAAGUAAGACUUCCUUAUAUAGUUGAUUUCAUUAAGGAAGAUGUACUGUAAAAUAAAUUGGACUGCUUGUUUAUACCUCAGGGACAAUAUGUAUCCACUGGAUGGAUGGUACAUAAUUAAUCUG
Long non-coding RNA from Labeo rohita (rohu), 6536 nucleotides. RefSeq lists it as uncharacterized. Lineage: Eukaryota; Metazoa; Chordata; Actinopteri; Cypriniformes; Cyprinidae. The record is from RefSeq and is a predicted model, not a curated record. The transcript has 5 exons.